GCUUGUCUCAAAGAUUAAGCCAUGCAUGUGUAAGUAUAAGCCCUUGAACGGCGAAACUGCGAAUGGCUCAUUAAAACAGUUAUCGUUUCUUUGAUGACCAAUUGCUACUUGGAUAACUGUAGUAAUUCUAGAGCUAAUACAUGCGGAUGCCUUUCGGGGCUAGCGUUUAUUAGAUACAAAGCCAACAUUUCCUUUUGGAAAUUCUGGUGAUUCAUAAUAACCAAGCGAAUCGGUCUUUUGACCGAUGCAUCUUUCAAGUUUCUGACCUAUCAGCUAUUGACGGUAGGGUAUUGGCCUACCGUGGCGAUGACGGGUGACGGGGGAUCAGGGUUCGAUUCCGGAGAGGGAGCCUGAGAAACGGCUACCACAUCUAAGGAAGGCAGCAGG
Molecule: ribosomal RNA, 387 nt
Filed under: uncultured alveolate
Lineage: Eukaryota
Description: partial small subunit ribosomal RNA
Rfam family: Eukaryotic small subunit ribosomal RNA
Source: RNAcentral